CACGCCGUAAACGAUGAAUACUAGGUGUAGGAGGUAUCGACUCCUUCUGUGCCGCAGCUAACGCAAUAAGUAUUCCGCCUGGGAAGUACGAUCGCAAGAUUAAAACUCAAAGGAAUUGACGGGGGCCCGCACAAGCAGCGGAGCAUGUGGUUUAAUUCGAAGCAACGCGAAGAACCUUACCAGGUCUUGACAUCCCGAUGACCGCUCUAGAGAUAGAGUUUUCCCUUCGGGGACAUUGGUGACAGGUGG
This 249-nucleotide ribosomal RNA is filed under the name uncultured bacterium. RNAcentral's name for it is "partial 16S ribosomal RNA". It matches the Rfam family "Bacterial small subunit ribosomal RNA", at positions 796 to 1041 of the family's 1533-position model. The record is from RNAcentral.